AUUGAACGCUGGCGGCAGGCCUAACACAUGCAAGUCGAACGAGUGGCGGACGGGUGAGUAAUGUCUGGGAAACUGCCCGAUGGAGGGGGAUAACUACUGGAAACGGUAGCUAAUACCGCAUACCAUCGGAUGUGCCCAGAUGGGAUUAGCUAGUAGGUGGGGUAACGGCUCACCUAGGCGACGAUCCCUAGCUGGUCUGAGAGGAUGACCAGCCACCCUGGAACUGCGACCCGGUCCCGACUCCUACGGGAGGCAGCCGUGGGGAAUAUUGCACAAUGGGCGCAAGCCUUAUGCAGCCCUGCCGCGUGUAUUAAGAAGGCCUUCGGGUUUUAAAGUUCUUUCAGCGAGGAGGCGUUACUCGCAGAAGAAGCACCGGCUAACUCCGUGCCAGCAGCCGCGGUAAUUC
This 406-nucleotide ribosomal RNA is filed under the name uncultured bacterium. Its description in RNAcentral is "partial 16S ribosomal RNA". It matches the Rfam family "Bacterial small subunit ribosomal RNA", at positions 30 to 526 of the family's 1533-position model. The record is from RNAcentral.